UCCGUAGGCGGUGCGGCAAGUCGGAAGUGAAAUCUCCGGGCUUAACCCAGAGGCUGCUUCCGAAACUGCCGUGCUAGAGUGCGAGAGAGGCGAGUGGAAUUGCGGGUGUAGCAGUGAAAUGCGUAGAUAUCCGCAGGAACAUCCGAGGCGAAGGCGGCUCGCUGGAUCGCAACUGACGCUGAGGGACGAAAGCUAGGGGAGCAAACAGGAUUAGAUACCCUGGUAGUCCUAGCCCUAAACCAUCAGGACUUGGGGUUUGCCCUGUACGGGGCAAGUCCCGUAGCUAACGCGUUAAGUCCUGCGCCUGGGGAGUACGGCCGCAAGGCUGAA
This 330-nucleotide ribosomal RNA is filed under the name uncultured bacterium. Its description in RNAcentral is "bacterial SSU rRNA". It matches the Rfam family "Bacterial small subunit ribosomal RNA", at positions 568 to 898 of the family's 1533-position model. The record is from RNAcentral.